Molecule: long non-coding RNA, 1209 nt
Filed under: Sorghum bicolor (sorghum)
Lineage: Eukaryota; Viridiplantae; Streptophyta; Magnoliopsida; Poales; Poaceae
Description: long non-coding RNA (SBIC_LNC001723)
Source: RNAcentral
GGGGCCGGUCUCUGCUCUGAGCGAGCUGAACGUUCGCCGGCCGGCGUCCGUACGUCUCGGUCACAGAAACUCGUGGUUGAGAUGGCCGUGUCACCGGGGAUGCCGCGCUUGUCCCGUUGCAGGCGAAGAUUAGGGCCCAAGCAACCCCAAGUGCGGCCCCAUGGUCUCACUCAGGCCUUGUUUAGUUGGCAAAAUUUUAGUUUUUUUUUUGCUACUGUAGCAUUUUUGUUUUUAUUUGACAAACAUUAUCCAAUCAUGGAGUAACUAGACUCAAAAGAUUCAUCUCACAAAUUUCAGGUAAACUACGUAAUUAGUUUUUAUUUUUAUCUUUAUUUAAUGCUCCAUGCAUAUGACCAAAGAUUCGAUGUGACGAGAAAUCUUGAAAAUUUUUGAGAACUAAACAAGGCCUCACUCUCACUCUCACCGCCACUGGGCUUUUUGCUUGUAAAACCCUGCGACUGACCAUUGCAGCAAAACGCCAUGGCCGCCUGAGGUCACGACAGGGGAAAAGGCAAGGAGUUUCUUCUACCGGAAGUGUACAAUGACGCCGCGCUGGGGGACAACGCGCCCGCGGCCGGGAUAACGAAGAACUUCAGGGAGAUUGCGAGCCUAAGCAACAACCAAACCAAAACGUGUGUGCGUGUGUUGUUGUUGUUGCGAUUGCAACAAGCCGGGCCAGACCUUCUUCUGGUCCCGCGGUCCGCAACCGCAGAAUCCAGUGGGUUUUGUGGCGGACGUAUGCGCUUGUUGUCUUGCGAUCCCCCGGGUCUCGUUAUGCCCAAGUUAACGCGGGAGGCUCCGCGACGUGUGGCGAGCCUGCUCUGCUGCUGUCGCUUUGCUGCUCGAUUCACUUGCUUCAACAGGAGAGGAUAACACAAUGCAGCCAAGAAGAGCACUGCCAACUACUACUGGGAUGAUGAAAAGCAAGCGUGGAUCAACCAAGAAACGCACUGGCCAAUCAUUGAACGAAGAGUGCAGUGCAGUGCUGUACUGUACUUCUUGGGCUGAAAGCUUGGUGCUUCCAUUUCAGUGGCGUUAAACUACAGGUUCUUUUUUGAGAUUGUUAAAUUACAGGUUUUUGAGAAAGAAGCUGGUUCAACUAUUAGCGGCUUCUGUAUUCGGGGUGGGCUACUGGGCUUAUUUUGUGCUCUCCUAUGGAACAAUCAGGUCCACGAAUCGGGUAACUUCCCGGGCCUACAUUACAGUCCA